UACGGAGGAUGCAAGCGUUAUCCGGAAUUAUUGGGCGUAAAGCGCGCGUAGGCGGCCUUGUAAGUGUCUUGUGAAAUCCCACGGCUCACCCGUGGAACUGCAGGGCAAUCUGCAAGACUUGAGGUCGGUAGAGGCGCCUGGAACUCUAGGUGGAGCGGUGAAAUGCGUAGAUAUCUAGGGGAACGCCGGAGGCGAAAGCGGGGCGCUGGGCCGAUUCUGACGCUGAUGCGCGAAAGCGUGGGGAGCAAACAGG
This 253-nucleotide ribosomal RNA is filed under the name uncultured bacterium. RNAcentral's name for it is "partial 16S ribosomal RNA". It matches the Rfam family "Bacterial small subunit ribosomal RNA", at positions 524 to 776 of the family's 1533-position model. The record is from RNAcentral.